RNAcentral lists this ribosomal RNA (449 nucleotides) under Indothais lacera. RNAcentral's name for it is "partial 16S ribosomal RNA". It matches the Rfam family "Bacterial large subunit ribosomal RNA", at positions 1933 to 2597 of the family's 2925-position model. Lineage: Eukaryota; Metazoa; Mollusca; Gastropoda; Neogastropoda; Muricidae. The record is from RNAcentral.
GCGGUACUUCGACCGUGCAAAGGUAGCAUAAUCAUUUGCCUUAUAAUUGAAGGCUAGUAUGAAUGGUUUGACGAGAAUUAAGCUGUCUCUUCUCAAUUAAAUAUAAUUUUAUUAACAGGUGAAGAAGCCUGUGUGUUAUUGAAAGACAAGAAGACCCUAUCGAGCUUUAAGGAAUUCAAUAGAUUUAUUAUAUAUUUAUAUAAAUAUAAAACUAUUGAAAACUUUGGUUGGGGCGACUGAGGAACAAAAAAAGCUUCCUUUAUAUCUUUAGAACCUACAAGUAUUGAUCCAAUAAAUUUGAUUAAAGGAAUUAGUUACCGUAGGGAUAACAGCAUAAUCUUCUUUGAGAGUUCUUAUCGAAAAGGAGGUUUGUGACCUCGAUGUUGGACCAGAAUACCCAGAAGAUGUAGCCGUCUUCAAUGGUUGGUCUGUUCGACCAUUAAAAUUCU